Macrosteles quadrilineatus (aster leafhopper) is the source of this 1121-nucleotide long non-coding RNA. RefSeq lists it as uncharacterized. Lineage: Eukaryota; Metazoa; Arthropoda; Insecta; Hemiptera; Cicadellidae. The transcript is spliced from 3 exons. The record is from RefSeq and is a predicted model, not a curated record.
AAGGAAUGUCGGCCUUAUUCACUAACAAGACUACAAGAUCGCGCCACUCAUCCUGAUCCUACACUCAUUUCCAUUCAUACUUGGCUUAAAAUACGGUACCUACUUUGUAUGGUCGCCAAGUAAUAAGUAAGAAAGUAUUAAAGAAAUAUAUUCAUUGGAAUGAGUGUAGGACGUAAAAUUAUGUGCUGUCAAAUAUUCUAGAGCUGUUUGUAUUUGGUGUAAGACUAGACUUGGAUUAUAUAAUUCAUUGCUGAUGACAUCAAUGUUAAUUUUAUAGAUGAUCCUGGAGCAAAGGCUGUAAUUUGACCUGAACCCAAAUUGGUCUCUAUUUUAAAUAUUGUCUUGAACCAAUGAGUUAAGAGGACUAACCUUUCUGGACGACAUUGCCAUCGACAUCACUGCAGAUGAGAGAGAAAGAGAGACCAGAGUUGUGGACCCUGGAGGCAAUUUCCAUUUUGCCGUGAUAAUGUUACUUGGUCUAACCAUAACUUAAGUGAGAACUGAAGCCUACCAGUAAGUAAAAUGGGGGCGUUGUAAUUAAUAUCCUCCGACAUUGGAGAAUACAGGGGAGAGGUGUCAGAGGAAGAGGAGAUCGAGGAUGGGGCGAAGUAAAGACUAAGAUUGAAGAGAACUAACUAAUGGCCUGAUGACAGGGUGGAUGGCGAUGGAGGCAUGGAGGUUGGGGGAGAGAAGGCUGAAGAAGUGAAGACAAAUCAGUUUAGAUUCAUUAUAAUGAUUAGUUUAAUAUUUAUUUUGAAUACCAGUAUACUUUUAUUUACAUUUUUUUUCUCAUUUAGAUUAUUUAAUUAAGAAAAUGUUAUAAAGAUGUUUUCUUAAAUUUUUAAUAUCUGUUUGUACUUCUGUCUGGUAAAAAACAAAACUGUUUAUUAUGUUUGUUAAAAUGAUUACUUCCACUAAUGGACCUUGUCUUGGGUGAAAAGAGAUAUCUUGAUAUUUAACUAGCAGGGUGCCUGUUCUAUCUAUGGGCGGGGAUCGUAUAAGUCAGUUGAAACCUUCUUAUAUUUCGAUAUUUGGUAAAUUAAUCAUUUCCAACUUUAUAUAGUAUAGAUCGCUAUUUCUGUAUUGAUGUACUGAAAUGAAUAAAAUUAUAUGAAAUUAAA